CAGUCGCCGCGGUAAAACGGAGGGUGCAAGCGUUAAUCGGAAUUACUGGGCGUAAAGCGCACGCAGGUGGUUUGUUAAGUCAGAUGUGAAAUCCCCGGGCUCAACCUGGGAACUGCAUUUGAAACUGGCAAGCUAGAGUCUCGUAGAGGGGGGUAGAAUUCCAGGUGUAGCGGUGAAAUGCGUAGAGAUCUGGAGGAAUACCGGUGGCGAAGGCGGCCCCCUGGACGAAGACUGACGCUCAGGUGCGAAAGCGUGGGGAGCAAACAGGAUUAGAUACCCCUGUAGUCCCUGUCUCUUAUAC
RNAcentral lists this ribosomal RNA (301 nucleotides) under uncultured bacterium. RNAcentral's name for it is "partial 16S ribosomal RNA". It matches the Rfam family "Bacterial small subunit ribosomal RNA", at positions 509 to 807 of the family's 1533-position model. The record is from RNAcentral.